This 300-nucleotide ribosomal RNA is filed under the name uncultured Helicobacter sp. RNAcentral describes it as "bacterial SSU rRNA". It matches the Rfam family "Bacterial small subunit ribosomal RNA", at positions 489 to 795 of the family's 1533-position model. Lineage: Bacteria; Pseudomonadati; Campylobacterota; Epsilonproteobacteria; Campylobacterales; Helicobacteraceae. The record is from RNAcentral.
CGUACAGUGGUGCCGAUGGCAGUGGUAAGAAGGGGUGUGCAAGCUGUACUCGGAAUCACUGUGCGUAAAGAUUAUGUAGGCGUAUUAAUAAGUUUUAAGUGAAAUCCUAUAGCUUAAUUAUAGAACUGCUUUGAAAACUGUUAAUCUAGAAUGUGGGAGAGGUAGAUGUAAUUUCUGGUGUAGGGGUAAAAUCCGUAGAGAUCAGAAGGAAUACCGAUUGCGAAGGCGAUCUACUGGAACAUUAUUGACGCUGAGAUGCGAAAGCGUGGGGAGCAAACAGGAUUAGAUACCCGAGUAGUC